CGUAGGGUGCAAGCGUUGUCCGGAAUCAUUGGGCGUAAAGCGCGUGUAGGCGGCUUGGUAAGUCAGCUGUGAAAGCCCAGGGCUCAGCCCUGGGAUGCCGGUUGAUACUGCCAAGCUCGAGUCCGGAAGAGGAGUGUGGAAUUCCUGGUGUAGCGGUGAAAUGCGCAGAUAUCAGGAGGAACACCAAUGGCGAAGGCAGCACUCUGGGACGUGACUGACGCUGAGACGCGAAAGCGUGGGGAGCAAACAGGAUUAGAUACCCUGGUAGUCCACGCCGUAAACGAUGGGCACUAGGUGUGGGAGGUGUCGACUCCUCCCGUGCCGAAGCUAACGCAUUAAGUGCCCCGCCUGGGGAGUACGGCCGCAAGGCUA
This 372-nucleotide ribosomal RNA is filed under the name uncultured organism. RNAcentral describes it as "bacterial SSU rRNA". It matches the Rfam family "Bacterial small subunit ribosomal RNA", at positions 526 to 896 of the family's 1533-position model. The record is from RNAcentral.